RNAcentral lists this ribosomal RNA (377 nucleotides) under uncultured eukaryote. RNAcentral's name for it is "partial 18S ribosomal RNA". It matches the Rfam family "Eukaryotic small subunit ribosomal RNA", at positions 592 to 976 of the family's 1831-position model. The record is from RNAcentral.
CAAGGGCGUAUAUUAAUGUUGUUGCAGUUAAAAAGCUCGUAGUUGGAUUUCGGGUGGGAAUGGCCGGUCCGCCGUUUCGGUGUGCACUUGCUACGCCCACCUUGCUGCCGGGGACGUGCUCUUGAGUUCACGCUCGGGACACGGAGUCGGCGAGGUUACUUUGAGUAAAUUAGAGUGUUCAAAGCAGGCCUACGCUCUGAAUACAUUAGCAUGGAAUAACACGAUAGGACUCUGGCCUAUCUUGUUGGUCUGUAGGACCGGAGUAAUGAUUAAGAGGGACAGUCGGGGGCAUUCGUAUUUCAUUGUCAGAGGUGAAAUUCUUGGAUUUAUGAAAGACGAACUACUGCGAAAGCAUUUGCCAAGGAUGUUUUCAUUAA